Molecule: microRNA precursor, 80 nt
Filed under: Podarcis lilfordi (Lilford's wall lizard)
Lineage: Eukaryota; Metazoa; Chordata; Lepidosauria; Squamata; Lacertidae
Source: RNAcentral
CAGCACAGCCAUUUUGGACUUCAUCUCCCAGCAUGGGGGCUGGGGGCUGAUGGGAGUUGUAGUCCAAAAUGGCUGUGCUG